UACGUAGGCAGCAAGCGUUGUUCGGAGCUACUGGGCGUAAAGGGUACGUAGGCGGCCCUGUAAGUAUGGUGUGAAAUCUCCCGGCUUAACUGGGAGGGUGCGCUAUAGACUGCGGGGCUCGAGUGUGGGAGAGGAAAGUGGAAUUCCUGGUGUAGCGGUGAAAUGCGUAGAUAUCAGGAGGAACACCAAUGGCGAAGGCAGCUCGCUGGGACGGUACUGACACUGAGACGCGAAAGCGUGGGGAGCAAACAGG
This 253-nucleotide ribosomal RNA is filed under the name uncultured bacterium. RNAcentral describes it as "partial 16S ribosomal RNA". It matches the Rfam family "Bacterial small subunit ribosomal RNA", at positions 524 to 776 of the family's 1533-position model. The record is from RNAcentral.